Molecule: small nuclear RNA, 103 nt
Organism: Trifolium pratense (red clover)
Lineage: Eukaryota; Viridiplantae; Streptophyta; Magnoliopsida; Fabales; Fabaceae
Source: RefSeq, a predicted model, not a curated record
GUCCCUUCGGGGACAUCCGAUAAAAUUGAAACGACACAGAGAAUAUUAGCAUGACCCCUGCGCAAGGAUGACACGCACAAAUUGAGCCUCUAGUGUCCCUUUU